RNAcentral lists this long non-coding RNA (300 nucleotides) under Prunus persica (peach). Its description in RNAcentral is "long non-coding RNA (PPER_LNC002932)". The record is from RNAcentral. Lineage: Eukaryota; Viridiplantae; Streptophyta; Magnoliopsida; Rosales; Rosaceae.
CGGCAUUGUGAUCCAAAAAUCCAGAAUUGGAGCCACUUCUGACCUGCAAGCUGUAAAGGGCAGCUUCAAAACAUUCUUAGGGAGGCCAUGGAAGGAAUAUUCAAGGACUGUGAUCAUGCAAUCUGCCAUAAGUGAUAUCAUCGACCCAGCUGGGUGGCAUGAGUGGAGUGGCACAUUUGCCCUCGACACAUUGUUUUAUGGAGAGUAUGCUAACACUGGGGCUGGCGCUGGGAUUUCAAAUAGGGUGACCUGGAAGGGCUUUAAGGUUAUUACAAGUGCCACUGAGGCUCAGACUUUCAC